GGGCUUGUAGUCUAGUGGUUAUAAGAACCUUAGUAGCACUUACGGUCUUAGGUUCGACUUCGACUCCUGGUUGGAGCAAAUAUUCCAGUAUUUUCUAACGACUUUGUGCUUUCAGGGGUAGGCGUCGUCUCCGCUGAUCAGGCUUCGGAGAUGCUCAUAGGGGUAGGGUUUGCUUGCGUUCUUAGAGAAGAAGAGAAGAGUGUGAGUAAGAGUGUGAGUGUAUUAUGAGCAUCUGCGUUGUAAUGUCUUCCUUAAAAAAAAAAGAAGAGAAGCCUCCAGCGGUCCACGGUGGACCGGGCUCACGCGGGCGGAGAAACAGGUAGGACAAGCAGAGACGGACAGGCAGAGGCCAAACCGCGUAGGCGAGGAGAGCGCAUCUCGGCCCUUCGCAGCUGCUUCUCACGCCCCACCACUGGCCAUCCGUCUCCGGACACGCCGCGUCUGCCUCAUCUCAUCCCAGCCUCCUCCUCCUCCUCUUUCACGCGCUCGUCUCUCUCUGUCGCCGCCGCCUCCUCCCCGCGCGGCCAUGCGCACGCACGCACAAACAAAACACACACUAGUUUACGACCCGAAAUCGGGCAAGUUUCCACGGACGGCGAGUCCCCCCGCCGCUCGCUUCGAUCCGUUUCCUCUUCUUGCUUGCUGCGUCGACCGUGCACGUGCCGCAGAUCGUUGUUGGUUGGUCCUAUGCUAUGGCUGGAAAAUAGUUUUCUUUUUUUUUCUUUUUUACCAACCAGCAGGUGUAGUCUCCGUCACUUCGCGAGUUC
RNAcentral lists this long non-coding RNA (767 nucleotides) under Oryza brachyantha (malo sina). RNAcentral's name for it is "long non-coding RNA (OBRA_LNC001636)". Lineage: Eukaryota; Viridiplantae; Streptophyta; Magnoliopsida; Poales; Poaceae. The record is from RNAcentral.